AUGGGCCUCAAGGAUCAUGAGGCUCCAGCCCUCUCAACACAGGCAGGGCACCAACCUCCCCAUUUAAUACCAGACCAGGCUGCCCAGGGCCCCAUCCAACCUGGUCUUGAACACCUUCAGGGACAGGGCAUCCAUAACCUAUCUGGGAAGCCUGUUCCAGCACCUCACCACUCUGUAAAGAACUUCCCCCUGACAUCCAAACUAAAUCUUCCCUCCCUCAACUUAACAGCAUUUCCUGCUGUUAUCUGCUCUUUCAAAGAGUUGAUUCCCCUCCUGUUUAUAGGCUCCCUUCAGGCACUGGAAGGCUGCAGUGAGGUCACCAUACAGCCCUCUGUUCUCCAGGCUGAACAAGCCCAGCUCCCUCAGCCUGUCUUCGUAGGGGAGGUGCUCCAAUCAAGCAAAGGACUGCACAAUCUUAACACUUCACCGCAGCCUUGCGUUAUUUCAACGCGCCCAUUUCCAACGGCACGGCAACUCGCAUCUAGAAACUCUGUUUUACAAACACAGGGGUACGACUCUGCCAUUAAACGAGGCACGGCUGCAGCACGGCCGCCAGUCAGGCCUAGGGGCUCUCUCCCGCCCUCGGGCCCGGGGCCGCCUCACUCCGGGUCACAGUAUCACAGUCUGGUGCGGGUUGGAAGGGACCUUAGAGAUCAUCGAGUCCAACCCCCGGGAUUCGAGCCCCUGUGUAGCAGAGCGGCACUUCCACCACUUGCGCCACAGGGGGGAUUCGAACCCGGGCCUCUGGUGUUGCACAGCGGCGUUCUUAACCACUGCGCCACCGGAGGCACACACAUUAGAGCGGGUCCUCCCGCUCUAAUCCCGUCACCCGCCGCCCCAUCCACCCGCUCGCCGCCCUCCUCCCACCUGUUCUCCCGCCGGCUCCGCCGCGCGCUGCCGCCGCUUCCCGCCACCUGUCAUGCUCCCGCCGUGCGCAUCGCGCCUCGCCCCGCCCCUUCCGAGGUCGCUCGCGGAGCCUCCGCGCGUGCGCACGGCACCCGCCCCUCCGGGACCGGCCCCGCCCCGCUCCGCGCGCUGCGCUGUGGUGUGAGCUGA
Molecule: long non-coding RNA, 1056 nt
Filed under: Coturnix japonica (Japanese quail)
Lineage: Eukaryota; Metazoa; Chordata; Aves; Galliformes; Phasianidae
Description: lncRNA (ENSCJPG00005000769.1)
Source: RNAcentral